GUGCUCAUUUUGGCCGCACAUAUGCUAAAAUUGGAACAAUUCAGAGAAGAUUAGCAUGGCCCCUGCACAAGGAUGACAUGCAAAUUCAUAAAGCGUUCCAUAUUUUU
Molecule: small nuclear RNA, 107 nt
Organism: Sapajus apella (tufted capuchin)
Lineage: Eukaryota; Metazoa; Chordata; Mammalia; Primates; Cebidae
Source: RefSeq, a predicted model, not a curated record